RNA transcript from Gossypium raimondii (Peruvian cotton), 1982 nucleotides. It is a transcript of the gene named protein TIC236, chloroplastic, with no coding region annotated. The record is from RefSeq and is a predicted model, not a curated record. The transcript is spliced from 2 exons. Lineage: Eukaryota; Viridiplantae; Streptophyta; Magnoliopsida; Malvales; Malvaceae.
UUCCCCCUAUUCAGCGGGCCCACCACCAAACGGGCGUUUGGUUGCCCGUAAUGCUAUUAAUGCCCGAUUCGGUUACGUGGCUGUUACCUCCAUUGGCUGUAAUAGCCAUUCCCCUCGUGAAGCGGCGAUUAGGGAUUCCGCCCUUGUUUCCUAUUUUCUAUUCCAUUCUCUGCCCUCAUCUACCUUCCGUUCCAUCGAUUCUCCGACGUUUCCCUUCCAGAGGUAAUUUACCUUUCCCUUCCAUCGAUUUCUGCUUCUUCUUAUGAUUUCCAUUUUCUGGUCCAAAUGUUUUCUAUUGCAUUUUCGAUUGAAAAGAUGAAAAAUUUUCUUGUUUGAUUUCCUUGUUAACCCCUUGGCUGAUAAAAAAAGAUCAGAUUUCUUUGUUUUUGUGUCCUAGAUUAAUCUAUUCAUUUCCACAGUCAUGAAAUACUGGUAAUGCCCCUUAGAUAGUAAACGAAGCAUACAAACAGAUAGAGACUAAAGAGAGUAAUUACCACUCCUAACUCAUCUGGAUACAACCUACGAUUUGAGAGCCGACUUUCCCUUCCAUUUUGCAAGCUAAAUCAGCUGAUGUAGAGAAGGAGAUGGAACAAGUAAACAUUAAACCAAGUCUUGAUGUCCGCCUUAGUGAUUUGAAGCUUGUUUUAGGACUAGAACUGAGGAUAGUUUAUCCUUUGAUUCUAAACUUUGCUGUUAGUGGGGAACUCGAGUUGAAUGGCCAAGCUCAUCCCAAAUGGAUUAAACCCAAGGGCAUUUUAACAUUUGAGAAUGGUGAUGUGAAUCUUGUUGCAACUCAAGUAAGAUCUCCUAUGCGUUCUACAUUACUCUUCUACAUUAACAUUUAAUGAAUUAUUAUUCGUAAAUGAUGAUCAAAUAAUUUCUUAUUUUUGCUUUAUACAAUGAAUUAGCCUGUGUGUUAAGGAAGGAUAAAGUUAGACCAUUCAGAAACUGAAAUAUCUUUCUUCCCCAUGCUGUGCAAAUUUGCUUGAUAUGGAAUGAGAAAGUUGAAUCUAUCAUAUAGUUUACUUUUUGCCAAUUGUGCUCCAUCGGUCUAACAACGUAGUUGUCCAGUGUAGUAGGGAAUGCAUAAGGUUGGCCUGCAUAAGCCAGAUGGAGGCUAGUGUAUGCCCCACAAAUCCCUAGUCUACUCUCUGUUGAUCCUACGACCGAUCCUCUCAAAUCUUUAGCCAGUAAUAUAUCCUUCGGUACAGAAGUUGAAGUCCAGCUUGGUAAACGUCUGCAGGUAAAUAACAUUCCAUCAGCCUUGAUUAUCUUUUCCCCACAAGUCAAUAUUACUGAAAGAGCUCUUCCUUCUUUCAAGUGAAUCAAUGCAUGGAUAAGAAGGUGGCCAUAACACCAUUGUGAACAGCUUUUGGGUGCUUUGGUUGUGUUUAUUAAUCACUUGGAUGUGGCUCAAUAGGUUUACAUAAAGCCAUUAACCAUUGUUGAAUUUUGUUUUCUAAUAUUUCCAUCCGUCUCUCUUAUAGGCCUCUAUAGUUAGGUAGCUAAAAGACUCAGAGAUGGCUAUGCAAUGGACCUUGAUUUACUAGCUUACAAGUCGGCUACGUGUGCUCCUACAAUCUGCUCCUUCCAAACGCCUUCUUUUCGAGUAUUCUGCUACCUCGCAAGACUAACCCAUGAUCGUGCUUUUCUCUUUUUUUGCCAAACUUGCCAUCUGCCACCGGCCAGCUAAAACUGGGCCUGUAUGGGUAAAAGUUGCCUACCUUUGAAGUUGAAAGGAGAACAAAAGAGGUGUAAGGAAAGGGUGGUAGUUUUUGUCAUUAAAAUGUAGAGGUAGUUUUUUUUUUUUGGCCAAAAUAAAGGUAGGUUUUUUUGUUACUUAUUCUUUGCUGGGAAAAUUCCAUGAACUUGCUUAUGUUUUAUCGUAGUUUCUUCAAGUAGAAAAUCAAUGGUAUUUCGUUUUUAAAUGUAACUACUCCCAUUCCAUUACAGAUUAAUUUUUAUCUAUUUAAUUUGUACUA